UACGGAGGGGACUAGCGUUGUUCGGAAUUACUGGGCGUAAAGCGCACGUAGGCGGAUUUGUAAGUCAGGUGUGAAAUCCCGGGGCUCAACCUCGGAACUGCCUUUGAUACUGCAAAUCUCGAGUCCGGAAGAGGUGAGUGGAAUUCCUAGUGUAGAGGUGAAAUUCGUAGAUAUUCGGAAGAACACCAGUGGCGAAGGCGACUCACUGGACAUGUAUUGACGCUGAGGUACGAAAGCGUGGGGAGCAAACAGG
RNAcentral lists this ribosomal RNA (253 nucleotides) under uncultured bacterium. RNAcentral describes it as "partial 16S ribosomal RNA". It matches the Rfam family "Bacterial small subunit ribosomal RNA", at positions 524 to 776 of the family's 1533-position model. The record is from RNAcentral.